GGCUACCAUGCAGUCGAGCGCAGUCCUUCGGGACCGAGCGGCGGACGGGUUAGUAACGCGUGGGAACAUACCCUUUUCUACGGAAUAGCCUCGGGAAACUGAGAGUAAUACCGUAUAAGCCCUUCGGGGGAAAGAUUUAUCGGGAAAGGAUUGGCCCGCGUUAGAUUAGAUAGUUGGUGGGGUAAUGGCCUACCAAGUCUACGAUCUAUAGCUGGUUUUAGAGGAUGAUCAGCAACACUGGGACUGAGACACGGCCCAGACUCCUACGGGAGGCAGCAGUGGGGAAUCUUAGACAAUGGGCGCAAGCCUGAUCUAGCCAUGCCGCGUGUGUGAUGAAGGUCUUAGGAUCGUAAAGCACUUUCGCCAGGGAUGAUAAUGACAGUACCUGGUAAAGAAACCCCGGCUAACUCCGUGCCAGCAGCCGCGGUAAUACGGAGGGGGUUAGCGUUGUUCGGAAUUACUGGGCGUAAAGCGUACGUAGGCGGAUCAGAAAGUAGGGGGUGAAAUCCCAGGGCUCAACCCUGGAACUGCCUCCUAAACUCCUGGUCUUGAGUUCGAGAGAGGUGAGUGGAAUUCCAAGUGUAGAGGUGAAAUUCGUAGAUAUUUGGAGGAACACCAGUGGCGAAGGCGGCUCACUGGCUCGAUACUGACGCUGAGGUACGAAAGUGUGGGGAGCAAACAGGAUUAGAUACCCUGGUAGUCCACACCGUAAACGAUGAA
RNAcentral lists this ribosomal RNA (720 nucleotides) under alpha proteobacterium GM76. Its description in RNAcentral is "bacterial SSU rRNA". It matches the Rfam family "Bacterial small subunit ribosomal RNA", at positions 45 to 813 of the family's 1533-position model. Lineage: Bacteria; Pseudomonadati; Pseudomonadota; Alphaproteobacteria. The record is from RNAcentral.